RNAcentral lists this ribosomal RNA (433 nucleotides) under uncultured bacterium. Its description in RNAcentral is "partial 16S ribosomal RNA". It matches the Rfam family "Bacterial small subunit ribosomal RNA", at positions 29 to 507 of the family's 1533-position model. The record is from RNAcentral.
AACGAACGCUGGCGGCAUGCCUAACACAUGCAAGUCGAACGAGACCUUCGGGUCUAGUGGCGCACGGGUGCGUAACGCGUGGGAACCUGCCCUUAGGUUCGGAAUAACUCCCCGAAAGGGGUGCUAAUACCGGAUAAUGUCUUCGGACCAAAGAUUUAUCGCCUUUGGAUGGGCCCGCGUUGGAUUAGCUAGUUGGUAGGGUAAAAGCCUACCAAGGCGACGAUCCAUAGCUGGUCUGAGAGGAUGAUCAGCCACACUGGGACUGAGACACGGCCCGGACUACUACGGGAGGCAGCAGUGGGGAAUAUUGGACAGUGGGCGAAAGCCUGAUCCAGCAAUGCCGCGUGAGUGAUGAAGGCCUUAGGGUUGUAAAGCUCUUUUACCCGGGAUGAUAAUGACAGUACCGGGAGAAUAAGCUCCGGCUAACUCCGUG